GACGAACGCUGGCGGCGUGCUUAACACAUGCAAGUCGAACGGAAAGGCCUGCUUUCCCUUGUGGAUUGCGGGUACUCGAGUGGCGAACGGGUGAGUAACACGUGAGUGAUCUGCCCCCAACUUGGGUAUAAGCCUGGGAAACUGGGUCUAAUUCCCGAUAGGACUGCAGGGUGGUGCCUGUGGUGGAAAACGAUUUUCUAGUGGUUGGGGAUGAGCUCGCGGCCUAUCAGCUUGUUGGUGGGGGAAUGGCCUACCAAGGCGGGGACGGGUAGCCGGCCUGAGGGGGUGGACAGCCGCAUUGGGACUGAGAUACGGCCCAGACGCCUGCGGGAGGCAGCAGUGGGGAAUAAUGCGCAGUGGGCGGAAGCCUGAUGCAGCGACGCCGCGUGGGGGAUGACGGCGUUCGGGUUGUAAACUCCUUUCGACCGCGAGGAAGCCACCUGGUUGGAGGGGUGGUGACGGUAGUGGUAGAAGAAGCACCGGCUAACUACGUG
RNAcentral lists this ribosomal RNA (494 nucleotides) under uncultured bacterium. RNAcentral describes it as "partial 16S ribosomal RNA". It matches the Rfam family "Bacterial small subunit ribosomal RNA", at positions 28 to 507 of the family's 1533-position model. The record is from RNAcentral.